UGGGGAAUUGUUCGCAAUGGGCGCAAGCCUGACGACGCAACGCCGCGUGGAGGAUGAAGGUCUUCGGAUCGUAAACUUCUGUUGCCCGGGACGAAUAGCUUAGACCUAAUACGUCUGAGUAUGACGGUACCGGGUGAGGAAGCCCCGGCUAACUCUGUGCCAGCAGCCGCGGUAAUACAGAGGGGGCAAGCGUUGUUCGGAAUUACUGGGCGUAAAGGGCGCGUAGGCGGCCUGCUAAGUCGAACGUGAAAUCCCCGGGCUCAACCCGGGGAACGACGCAUGAAACUGGCAAGCUAGAGUACCAAAGAGGGUGGUGGAAUUCCCGGUGUAGCGGUGAAAUGCGCAGAUAUCAGGAGGAACACCGGUGGCGAAGGCGGGUCUCUGGGCAGUAACUGACGCUGAGGACGAAAGCGUGGUAGCGAACAGGAUUAGAUACCCCAGUAGUCCCUGAGCGGGCUGGCAAGGCGCAU
RNAcentral lists this ribosomal RNA (470 nucleotides) under uncultured bacterium. RNAcentral's name for it is "bacterial SSU rRNA". It matches the Rfam family "Bacterial small subunit ribosomal RNA", at positions 355 to 825 of the family's 1533-position model. The record is from RNAcentral.